Molecule: long non-coding RNA, 7177 nt
Organism: Equus quagga
Lineage: Eukaryota; Metazoa; Chordata; Mammalia; Perissodactyla; Equidae
Exons: 3
Source: RefSeq, a predicted model, not a curated record
GGUCUCAUGACCGGGAAGGGAGAAAAACAAAAGGGAGACGAGACACAACUCCAGGGGAAGGGUGUGUGUGCGUGUGUGCGCGCCCUCCCCGCCUCUGCUCCGGCGGCCGGCCAGGAGCAUCCUCCCACCUGGGGACCCGGAUCGCACCGCUCGCCGUGGCGGUCGCCUGUGCCGGCCCCACGCCCGCCGCCAACGCUCUGCGAAGCUGUCAGCUCGGUCCCUCCUCGUCGCCUCCACUUGCCGGUCCACCCCAGAGCUCGCGCUGGCGUUCCGGGACAGGCAGGCCGUUCUGGGUCCCGUGUUCACGGUGGCUGAAGAGACAGUGUGUUUGGGAGCUCUGCCACGUUUUUCGACUCCGAAAGGUUGGUGAAGUGUCAGCUGUGAUUUCACCCCGCUCAACCUGGAAUCUAAUUAUCCGAGGCAGCGUUCUUAAUGAGACUGGUUGGUCCUGGAGCCUAUGAACUAGGUGAGGAGGCUGGCAGUCGAGCAGGCUGAAGAGGCUGCUGAAAAGAUGUCAGCAUCUGGACAAGAAGUGCACAUUUGCAACUUUAAAAGGCUGGAGAGUAACUGAUGCAUGCGAUUAUAUUUAUGGCUCGGAGGAGGGUCUGGGUUGUCACAGAUGAGCUCAUACACAUCCGGAAUGUUGAACUUCCCUUGCAUAGCUCAACACAAAAUGCCCAUGUUCCUUUGGAUCGGGCAGUCGAAGCUGGGAUUACUGACAGUAACGUCUACAGCCCAUGUUUUGUCCUAGGCAAUAACAGUGUGGUAGUAAUUUUAAGUGUAACCAUAUCAGCUUCCAGCAAGGUGGAGACGAAGUCUGCUUAUAUGUAAAGUCAUGUGCUCCCUUAAGUAAAAAGCUGAGCAGAGAAAAAAGGAACAGCACUCAAACCCACCCCCACCCCCCCAAGGAGUUGCCUCCAUAGCUCUUGUCUUCUACACAUGUGCACUCAGACGUCAUUACAGAGAAGAUCAAACUUGAGUGGUCUGGGGUGCUCCAUCGCUGUUGAUUAAAGAGAGUUCUUCUGGGCACUCCAGCAAUCUUCCAUCUCUCCCGUACACAUUUGAAAAAUGGCGGUUCCUGGUGUGUGAGAGCAUAGCCUUUGGAAUUAGGUCCUAAUCUCAGCUCUGCCAGACUAUUAGCUGUAUCAUCCUGGACAGGUUACUCAUCAGCUCUGAUUCUCGGUUACUUUACUCAUAAAAGGAGCAUAAGAACACCUAGCUCAAAGAGGAGUUUUUAGGAUUGAAAUUUAAUCAAAAUUUAAUAAAAUAUAUGUAAAGCCCCUAGCAUGAUACUGGGAACUUAAUCUUCAAAAACAAGCAGCUGUAACAAUUUUUUAAUUGUAUUUUUGUUUACCCCAUACACUUCAUAGAAUUAUUCUUUUCCUUUUGGCUUCCUGCUCUUGAAAAUUCAACGAACCUACUAUUAGUGAAAGUUCUGUGAUUACGAAGAUAAGCAAGAAUAGGUCCUGCCCGCAGGAAGUUCACCCUUCAGCCUUGGAGAAAUACCUAUAGAAGCAACUGUGCUGAUGCUGGCGGGCUGAAGGCAAGCGCCUGGGCCCUCGCACUUUGUGAUGACCUGCCCUAGAAGUAUUUAACUAAGUAAGAUGUAGAUUUAUUAAUACUCAGGCAAUGGCAAAGCUUAUGGAAGCAGUUAGGAAAAUGGCCUCCCCGAGCAAGCAAACAAAAUCUCACAUUUUCACAAAAAUGAGGAUUACCUUUAAAACUCCAUCUAAUUAGUAUAAUUCUGCAGUUUUUGAAAAUUUUCUGGUCCAGUGUAAGAGGCAGCCUCUUUUUUUGCAUUUGUGUGAAAAAUAUGCCAGGUUGUACCUUUGAGGUAAUGUUGGAGAAAUGUAGUUAAUAGGAAGGACUUCUGGUUGUUAAUUAAUUAGACCACUUUAAUCAAGAACUAUUUUCUGGGAAACUUAUUCCCAGCCCUGGGCCAGGUGCUAAGGAAACAAAGAUGAUGCAGAUACAGACUUUGCCCUUCAGGAACUCAUUCCACAAAUGUUUGUUGAUCACCUACUGGGGAUGCAGUGGUAAGACGUUGAGCUUACCAGAGGGAGAUUACAUACAGAUCUUCCUCAACUUACCGUGGGAUCACAUCCUGAUAAACCCAUCGUAAGUGGAAAAUAUCAUAAGUCAAUAAUGCAUUUAGUACAUCUAAACUACCAAACGUCAUAGCUUAGCCUAGCUUACCUUAAACGUCCUCAGAACACUUACGUUAGCCUAUAGUUGGGCAAAAUCAUCUAACAGAAAGACUAUUUUAUAAUAAAGUGUUGACUAGCUCAUGCAAUUGAUUGAAUGCUAUACUGAGAGUGAAAAGGAGAAUGGCCAUGUGGGUACAGAAUGGUUGUAAGUGUGUCAGUUUUUAUCGUAUGAUCUCGGGGUUGCAGGGCACUGCAGGGGCUGCCCCUGCCCAGCAUCACAAGAGAUGACCAUAUGGCACAUGGCUAGCCUGGGAAAAGAUCACAAUUCAAAAUUCGAAGUCCACUGUCUACUGAAGGCCUAUCACUUUCGCACCAUUGUAAGGUUGAGAAAUUGUAGGUGGACCCAUUGUAAUUUGGGGACUGUCUGUGAGCACAUACCUUUCCAGCUCAAGAAGUGUUUGAUUGACAGGGUUUGGGCAAGGCAAAAAUAUAUAUAUUGCCCCUCCCCCAGAAUGUUUUAUGUUCCUCAAAACAAAGAGCAACUCUUGAAAGAAUAUUCUGGACGCUACAGCCCAAGUGGACCUGGGACUCUCGCUGGCGUUAGGCGGAAUUGUGAGGAGCGAAGUUGUGUUCGAUUCCCCCAGAGCCGGGCCUAUUUGAAUAGCUUUCUGGCCUCUCAGUUCCUGUCUUUCUGAACCGUUUGGCUCUCCAAAGGACUGCCGCAAUGAGGAUUCGACAACACAAACCCAAUUAUAUGAUUUCUGUGCUUAAAAACUUUCCUGGCUCCCCAGGAUCUGCGAAGCAGGGCACACGAGACCCUUUGUGAUCUUGUGCCAUCCCGCCCUCCAGCCUCAUCCCCUGAGACCCACAUGGAGGGUUGUCAGAUCUAGUUAAUAAAGAUACAAGAUGCCCAGUGAAAUUUCAGGUGAACAACAUUGUUUUGGUAUCCAUACGUCCCAAAUAUUCCAUGGGGCGUACUUACACUAAAAUGUAUUCACUGUUUAUCUGAAAUCCAAAUUUAAGCAGGCGUCCGGUAUUUUAUCUGGCAACCCUACUCAUGCCAGUCUGACUGAUUACCUUGCUGUUCCCCACCAGUCUCUUCGUGCCUCUGUGAGUGCCUGAUAACCUCUCCACCCUGCCCCUUCUCCACAUGAUAUUCUGCUGUUCUGCUUCAAAAGCCAGUCAUGGGGUUCUGGAACUCCACAGGUGUGAGCUUGGGAUCCGAGGUGCCAGGUGGGGGCCUGGCCACCUGUGUGCCUUGUUCAGUAUCUAGGCUUCUGCCCCAGUUCCUGUUCAUUGUUUUCAUUCUCCCUCCUGGAACUGGAGUUCUGCCCUGAACCCCAGUUUACUUGGCUGGGACCUACAUACGGUUUUGCAGUCUUGCCAACUCUCUCCCUGCGACUGUGGGGCUGGGUCCUUUCCCCCAGCUGCUCGUUGGGCUCCUGACCUAAACUGGAUGGAUCAAUGAAACCUGCCUCAGAUACUGCCACCUUCCUGUCUUGCGUACUACAAAAGAUGGACAAGACACUCAGGUGAGAGCAGGUCUGUGAGAGUGGUUUAUAGAGUGUAAAGCUCCAUGGUGAUUUAGUUUAGAGGCUGAUGUCAAACUCUUCACCUGGUCCUGGGUACGAGAGCCCCGCUUCUGUGGUGAUCUGGAUUUCCCUUGUUUCUGCUCCUGCCUAGUGAUGUAUGAUGCUGAAAAGGAUGUGAAAAUUUUCCAAAUGUCCUCUAAUUUUGGUUAGUGCGUUCAGCCACGCUGGCUAUUACAUUAUGAAUGGAUCUGGACCAGCCGCUUUAAUUUUUAAAAUUUUAAUCUUGUGAUCCAGGACACACCUCUUGAUAACUGAAACCAAAGUCUCGUGAACUCUGUCAUACCCUGAAUGUGUGUAAUGAACUCUGCUAUUUUCUGUUCUAUUUCAUCUUUUAAAAGCUGGUCAACCCACCAAAUUAAUUUCAUAACCCCCUAACGCAUUGACACUUGCAUUUUGCUACACACUGAUCUGUACUGUCCAGUGAGAUUUCCUGUGUUAACCAACCGACUGGAGCACUUGUCAAAUGCCUAUGUCAUCUGGUGCUGCCUCCCGUAGGAACCACCUUGCCCACAAAGGGAGCUGAGGCCACCUCACUGAGGUCAGUCACAGUUGCUCCUGCCGAAUGGUCAGCGAGCAGAGUAUGGUGGCUGGACUUUCUGAGCUGCCUCGGGUUAAUAUAUAAAAUUCCUGCAAGGCCGUUUAUAAAGAGGGAGAGCUGCAAGAUGGUCACAGAUGACAACUACAUCCAUCUUAGAAUAGAGGGAUACUAUGUGGGGGCAAUUUUUUCUCAGACAUUUAAAAUUAUUCCUGGUUGAGUUAAAGAGACUCUUAGGUUUCUGAGAUUUCACAUUGAUUUCGGAGAUAAAAUAUGAAUGAAAGCUCUGUCACUCAUUGCUAUGAUUUUGUUUUCCCUAAAUGGUGGGCAGGCUAAUCCGACAUCAGACUGUUUAAGAAGCUGGGCCACUGUAGAUUCCAGAGAAAAUAAGGAAAAUAUAUGGGAAGGAAGAUAUUGUUCAAAUGGAGUAGAAAGAAGACAAAUUAUCUAAGGAAUUCUUGUGAUACAGGUAGUCAGUCCAGCUGCUAGAAUUCAGGGUUUUCUCUCCCCUCACCCUCUUCUCUUACUCGGGGCUGCCUCAUUCAUUUUUCUUUAUGAGAUGGUUUUAGUUUCGUUUGUUUUGUUGGCCUCAAAAAGACCAGUUUGAGAUCUGUGGUGGCACAAAAGCUAGAUUGGAGACAAUUUAAGAGAGAACAGGAGAAGAGGAAUUCCAGGCUGCUACUAUAGACAACCGUUUAGCUACAAGUGGUUACAGAGAAAUAAGAUGGUAACCAAACGCAGGAAAUAGAGUCAAGGGGAGAUUUUUGUUUCUUUGUCUUUAAAGUGCUUGCAAUGAUCUGUUUGUAUACUGAUGGAAAUCAUCCAGUAGAGGAAAACCCAUGAUGUAGGAUAGAAAGGGAGGAUUUGCUGGUCUGCUGUUCUUGAGUCUGCUAGAGGGUGGGACCUCGUGCACAAGUGGAAGCUUUCCCAUAGGAGCCGAGAGUGCAUCCUGACUGGCAGGAGGCGAGGCAGGGUCUAAGGGGUUCAUCUGUAUGGACGUGUGGAUGCCGUAAGAGUGAGUGGAAGCUCUCUUCUGAUUCUUCAGUUUUCUCAAUGAGGAAAGAAGAAGUCAUCAGCUGAGAGUGAGGAUGAUGGAGAAGAGAGGAGUGGGUGCGAAACGUCCUUUGGCAGAAAGGGAAUGUAAGAAAACGAAUGCAUCAGGGAGACAGAGGAUGUUAGCUGGGAAACAGGGUCUUCUUAAGUUCCUGGUGACAAGUUUAAAGUGAGACUGGUGUAGGUAGAAAGUUGGGUUUCACCAGGGUCGUGAUUUUGCCUCCCAGUGUGGCAGAAUUACGGUGAGCAAGGGAGUUCGGGGAGUGAUUAUAUGUAUUGACCCUGAAUUUUAGGCUGAGUAAAGGGGGAAUAGAGUGCCUCAAAGAGUGAGGGAAGGUGAAAAAAUGGUGCCUAAGAGGCUCCUCCCUCUGUUCUUUGCAUGACUGGCUCCCUCUUGUGGUUCAGUCAUUCUCUGAUAACACCCUUUUAACUCUCUUCGGAAUACCUAAGGUGUUUUCUUUUUACUUUCUUUUAUCUGUCUGUCUGUCUGUCUCUCUCUCUCUCUUUCUCUCUCUCUCUCUUUCUUUCUUUCUUUUUAUCCAUCUUUCUCUGUAUCUGUCUCUGUAUCUAUCUCUGUAUCCAUGUAUCUGUCUGUUUCACACUACUAGAAUAUAAAGUCCAUGAGAGCAAGGAGCUUGUCUGUAACGUUCAUUAUUUUAUAGCCACAGCACUUAUUUGGCACAGGAAAGACCAAAAAGUAUUUGCUAGAAUGAUGAAUGACUAGGACAUGGUUUUAAGAUCUUCACCAUCCCGAUCAUGCUCUUCUGCACGUGCUCCUGUUUGUCAGUUUUCUCCUUCUAACCUCCACCAAGAGAAAGAAGCUCCCUCGCCCAGGGUUCGAGCUGCUUGCUGAACCAUCCGCUUCGGCUCUCCUAGGAGGCCUGCCUUCUGAGCGUGUGGAGAGGAGACCUCAGGAGAACACUACCACAGAGUUAGGAGGCACCACAUAUUUCAGAGGGGAGACAGAAAGGGCGCCACCAAGACACAAUAGCUUUCUGGUUUGUUUUAUUUAAAACAUCUUUAUUGAGGCUUAAUUUAGAUACCAUCAAAUUCACCCAUUUUAAAUGUAAACCUUGUUGAAUUUUAGUGAGUUUAUGCAAUUAUACAACCAUCACAAUGAUUCAGUUUUAGAGCACUUUUAUUACCGUGAAAAUUCCCCUGUGCCUGUUUGCAAUCCAUCUCUGCCCCCAACCCAGCCCUAGGCAACCACUGAUUUUUCUGUCUAUAGUUUUGCCUUUUCUAGAAUUUUCAUAUAAAUGGAAUCAUGCAAUAUGUAGUCUUCUGUGUCUGCCUCCUUCCGUUUAGUAUAAUGCUGUUAUUGUGAGGAGUAUUCCACUCUAUAGAUACACAGCAUUUUGUUUAUCGAUUCACCAGUUGAUGGACAUUGUUUCCAGUUGGGGCUGUUAUGGGUAACACUGCUAUGAACAUUUGUGUACAAGGCUCUGUGUGGACAUACAUUUUCAUUUCUCUUGGGUCUAUACCUAGGAGUUGGAUUGCUAAGUUGAAUGAUAAGUGCAUGUUUAACUUUUUUAAAACUGCAGACAGAUUUCCAGAGUGGCUGUCCCAUUUUAGAUUCCCACUAGCAAUGUAUGUGUUUCUCCAUGUCCUCACCAACACUUGGUCAAAGUCUUUUUUGUUUUAGCCAUUCUAGUAGGUGUGUAGUGGUAUCUCAUUUUGGUUUUAAUUUGCAUUUCUCUGAUGACUAAUGACAUUAAGCAUUUUUUCGUGUACUUAUUUGCCAUAUAUAUAAUUUUUUUUUAAAGACUGGCAUCUGAGCUAACAUCUGUUGCCAAUCUUCUUUUUUUCCUUCUUCUCCCCAAAGCCUCCCAGUACAUAGUGGUAUAUCCCAG